This 1632-nucleotide unclassified non-coding RNA is filed under the name Hevea brasiliensis (rubber tree). Lineage: Eukaryota; Viridiplantae; Streptophyta; Magnoliopsida; Malpighiales; Euphorbiaceae. The record is from RNAcentral.
AUUUUGUAGCUCUAAAUUCAGUGAAGGAUCCAAUAAGCUUUGAGCAAUGUAAGAUGACAAAGCGGGAUCAGAAGCCAGAAGAAGAAUUAUACAAGCUAAAAGGAUGGCCAAGAAUCUUUAACACCUCUUUUCUCUCUCCAUAUGCGUGAGCUUUGAGUGCUACAACACCAAGUUAUACAAGAGAAAUGGGAAGUUCAAGCCGAGGAUAGAAUCAUAAAAAUCUUUAUUCCACAAAAAAGAAGAUACAUGUAAAUUGGUAAAGCUCAACACUACUGUGUCCACGGCUAGAGAUACAUAACACGCACUAGCUUGUCUGACCAGUGGAGUAAUGCUGAAAUGUUCCCACAAAGCAGACGGAAUCAUUUAGAGCAUUUGAAAACCUGUCCGCCAUAUUUGAAAAUACGAAAGAAAUUAAAAGCUCAAUCUCAGUCUGGGACUACCUGCAUCAAGAACUUUUCAAAUUGACAAAAAUUGCUAAAGAAGCAUACACAGAGCAUGUAACUACUAGCUCAUUAGGUCAAAUCCGAAGGGAUCCAUUGUGCCAUUCUGGAAAUGUAAAAGUUGGGAGCAGAGAAAAAAUGCAUCAAUUUAGGAAGAUAGGGAACUCACCCUGCUCAGUCUUUCUCUUUUCGCCAGUGCUUUGUCAGUUGUCACCAAAUGAGAAAUCCCACUCCUUUUUUCUGGCACUCUUUGAACCUGAAAAUAUAUCUGUACUAGAAUUUGAAAUCUUAGUAACCAAACAUAAGAAAGGGUCAAGGAUCAAAAUCAUUGUAGGCAAUAUUGAAGUCCAAAUGUCAUAGUUCUGCCGACUUCUAUGAAUGAUAAAAAAAGGAUCUGCUCUGAGCCAACUGCACUUCCUAACAGCAAAACAUUGGGAAAUGAUUGUCACAAGAAAGUAAUUUAGGUAAAUUAUUGAUAUGUGCGACGGGUUGAACGGUUACAUGAUACAAUUUCUGUUACAACAUAGUAUAAUUUCUGUUCAUAAUUACUCAAACCUAUGCGAGGAAAAGAAGAACAGAUGGGGGUGGGGGUUCUCUAGAUUACACUGCACUCUAUGUAUUUACAGAAGAAUUCCUCCUCUUUGCAGUACCUAUACAUAACUUUGAAAACCUCUAUCAAGAGUUUUGGAAAUCGGCAUGAAAAAUAAUUCUCAAAUCCUUCUGGAUGAGAUCCUAAUAUUUCCUUGAUCUCUUGAGGAAGUUCCCUGUAGUGAUGUGACUUGUUGCGUAUGACCCGCAACAAGUCUCGGACACUAUCAUACUUAUAACGCCUGUAGCGGCAAAUGUUGUUGAUGAAUGCAGCUUCCAUCUUUUCGUCCCAUUUCCCAUUUAAUGCCACUGUUCCGACACUUUCUAGUGCAGCUAAGAGUUCUGAUUCGUUCUCCCUAUCUUCCAGUUCAACCCUAUCACUAGAAUCCUGAAGAAAUAAGAGUCUUCUCUCAGAUGUCCAGAAAAAAGGAUGGCUCAGCACCUCCUGAGCUUUUGGCCUGUUAUCUGGCUUAGGAUCCAAGAGGCGAGAAAAAAGAUCCACAGCUUCCGGUAUAUUCUCCACCAAGAACAGGUCUUUCCUGUCAUUCACAAUAUUUACAUCACGUUCAAUAUUGUCGCCAAAAGGGUGCUUUCCUCCUGUGAC